GGGGGCGAUCAGGUUCGACUGGUAUGGUGGAAGUCUGGGAGCAGGCCGACCGACGGGCGCAACCCGUCACCAAAAAGAAACGACAACAACUACGCACUGGCUGCUUAAUUAAGCAGUCGCCCGAAUGAUGAAGAGCGCCCGCAUAAUCAGGAGGGCUAAUCACAGCGAGCGGCGUACUGUCGCGGAACGUAGAGAUUUGGCAGCUGUUUUGUCGAUCACAGCGCCAUUUCUGCGAAGAAAAGAAAUCGACUAAGCCUGUAGCGCCCAUUCAUACCCAUUAUGCCAGGACCGGGGUGCGAUUCCCCGCGCCUCCACCA
Molecule: transfer-messenger RNA, 317 nt
Filed under: uncultured Pyramidobacter sp.
Lineage: Bacteria; Thermotogati; Synergistota; Synergistia; Synergistales; Dethiosulfovibrionaceae
Rfam family: transfer-messenger RNA
About the family: Bacterial tmRNA, also known as 10Sa RNA or SsrA, is named for its dual tRNA and mRNA-like properties. Its role is to liberate the mRNA from a stalled ribosome.
Source: RNAcentral